Molecule: ribosomal RNA, 376 nt
Filed under: uncultured marine eukaryote
Lineage: Eukaryota
Description: SSU rRNA
Rfam family: Eukaryotic small subunit ribosomal RNA
Source: RNAcentral
AACCUGGUUGAUCCUGCCAGUAGUCAUACGCUCGUCUCAAAGAUUAAGCCAUGCAUGUGUAAGUUCAAUGAUUUGACCAAAAAACUGCGAAUGGCUCAUUAUAUCAGUUAUAGUUUAUUUGAUAGUCCCUUACUACUUGGAUACCCGUAGUAAUUCUAGAGCUAAUACAUGCGUAAACACUCGACCUUUGGAAGAGUGGUAUUUAUUAGAUUGAAACCAACCCGUUUCGGCGGUGUCCUGGUGAUUCAUAAUAACUUUUCGGAUUGCAUUGCAACAUUUCAUUCAAGUUUCUGCCCUAUCAGCUUUGACGGUAGUGUAUUGGACUACCGUGGCUUCAACGGGUAACGGAGGAUUAGGGUUUGAUUCCGGAGAGGGA